Molecule: ribosomal RNA, 467 nt
Filed under: uncultured bacterium
Lineage: Bacteria
Description: partial 16S ribosomal RNA
Rfam family: Bacterial small subunit ribosomal RNA
Source: RNAcentral
GACGAACGCUGGCGGCGUGCUUAACACAUGCAAGUCGAACGGAAAGGCCUCUUUCGGGGGGUACUCGAGUGGCGAACGGGUGAGUAACACGUGAGUAACCUGCCCUUGACUUUGGGAUAACUUCAGGAAACUGGGGCUAAUACCGGAUAGGAGCUCCUGCUGCAUGGUGGGGGUUGGAAAGUUUCGGCGGUUGGGGAUGGACUCGCGGCUUAUCAGCUUGUUGGUGGGGUAGUGGCUUACCAAGGCUUUGACGGGUAGCCGGCCUGAGAGGGUGACCGGCCACGUUGGGACUGAGAUACGGCCCAGACUCCUACGGGAGGCAGCAGUGGGGAAGAUUGCACAAUGGGUGGAAGCCUGAUGCAGCAACGCCGUGUGCGGGAUGACGGCCUUCGGGUUGUAAACCGCUUUCGCUCAUGACGAAGCUUUGUGUGACGGUAGUGGGUAAAGAAGCACCGGCUAACUACGUG